AAAAAGGGUGUCUGCCUGCUAAAUGGCACACAGUUCCUCUGGAGCUGUGCAGAAUCGCUAGCAAGAGAUUCCGGGCACGUAAUUUUUGUGACUUGGGGCUGCUGAUAGCCACUGUCUUUGGCGCCCCU
This is a non-coding RNA of Stegodyphus mimosarum, 128 nucleotides long. The record is from Rfam. NCBI's taxonomy places the organism in Eukaryota, Metazoa, Arthropoda, Arachnida, Araneae, Eresidae.